Molecule: ribosomal RNA, 253 nt
Filed under: uncultured bacterium
Lineage: Bacteria
Description: partial 16S ribosomal RNA
Rfam family: Bacterial small subunit ribosomal RNA
Source: RNAcentral
UACGUAGGGGGCAAGCGUUGUCCGGAUUUAUUGGGCGUAAAGAGCGUGUAGGCGGCCAGACAAGUCUGCUGUGAAAACUCGAGGCUCAACCUCGAGCUGUCGGUGGAAACUGUCUGGCUAGAGUCCGGAAGAGGAGAGUGGAAUUCCUGGUGUAGCGGUGAAAUGCGCAGAUAUCAGGAAGAACACCAAUAGCGAAGGCAGCUCGCUGGGACGUUACUGACGCUGAGACGCGAAAGCGUGGGGAGCGAACAGG